GGACUCGAGCGUGUGCACAUGGAAUUGGACGAAGUAUCCAAAGUCGGAAACGAAGCUAAGUUUGGGCGAGCACUCCAUAUCCAGUGUGCAGGUUUCGAGCAUGUGGUCGGGAAGCGUACAGGGGAGGCACAUGGCACGGCUUGGCGCAUUUCUCUUUAGUUUUAUCAAAAGAAGGUUUUGGCCCUUAAUCGGAUUUUGUAGUAGCUUGUUUAUUUACUUUUUAUUUAUU
This is a long non-coding RNA of Rosa rugosa (rugosa rose), 229 nucleotides long. RefSeq lists it as uncharacterized. The transcript has 2 exons. Lineage: Eukaryota; Viridiplantae; Streptophyta; Magnoliopsida; Rosales; Rosaceae. The record is from RefSeq and is a predicted model, not a curated record.